Molecule: long non-coding RNA, 760 nt
Organism: Macaca mulatta (Rhesus monkey)
Lineage: Eukaryota; Metazoa; Chordata; Mammalia; Primates; Cercopithecidae
Source: RefSeq, a predicted model, not a curated record
GCCCCGCCCCCCCGGCAGCCCGCUCCCUGGGGAACCGAGGGAGGAACGGGCGGGGUCCUCAGGUGCCCGGCGACGUCAUCCAGCCCCCAAGGCUCCAGGGCGCAAAGGGUCCCCUGAUCUGGCAGUCCCCGGACCCACCCUGGAGAGCGUGGGGGCACAAAGGCCGGACGCGCCGCCCGCCGCCGCCUCCAGGAAGGCCUCCCUUGCCAGGACCGCGGAGUUGGCCGGGUCCUUCCAAAGUGCCUACAGAAAGCUUUGGCCCAUCCUUGAAAAAUUGCUGAUGGGUUUGGAGAUACAAGGUGGAGAUGACUAGCAGUCAAGCUCAGAGGUGGAAAAGUCACAUCGAGGCAGAUGAGCAGAUGAGGGGACCUAGAGAAGAAGAGAGGGGCAUGGAGAGCCCAGCCAGCAGGAACAAUUGCCCCAGUAGGCAGCACUGCCGCACAUCAGAGUCAAGGAAAGCAAAGCUCAGACUGGAUAAAAGAAACCUGCAAACACAGUCAGUGCUCACUGCAUGUGGGCUCAGAGCACGUGACCCUCCUUCCCUGUGUAUUCCUGUGAAAUGGGUUUACUGCUCUAACUCUCAGGGACACUGUGAAGAUCAAACAAGAAAAUAGAAAUAAACAUAAUUUAUAAACCUUAAACUACCGAUACCAAAAGAGGGGCGAGCUCAACAUUGCGAAUUUGCUGAUACUAAACGGUUCACUUUAAGAUGGUCUUACGGUGUGUGAAUUUCACUCGAAUAAAUUUUUUUAAUGGAGUU